Molecule: ribosomal RNA, 253 nt
Filed under: uncultured bacterium
Lineage: Bacteria
Description: partial 16S ribosomal RNA
Rfam family: Bacterial small subunit ribosomal RNA
Source: RNAcentral
UACGUAGGGGGCAAGCGUUGUCCGGAUUUAUUGGGCGUAAAGAGCUCGUAGGCGGUUCGUCACGUCGGCUGUGAAAUCCCGAGGCUCAACCUCGGGUCUGCAGUCGAUACGGGCGGACUGGAGUACUGCAGGGGAGACUGGAAUUCCUGGUGUAGCGGUGAAAUGCGCAGAUAUCAGGAGGAACACCGGUGGUGAAGGCGGGUCUCUGGGCAGUAACUGACGCUGAGGAGCGAAAGCGUGGGGAGCGAACAGG